ACCGACAUUCUGUACAACUCUCCAGGCCCCACUGCCACUGUGACAGAGGUAAAACCUGAGUUGGUGGUAAAGGAGAUGAGGAGAGAGGGUCACCAAGGCCAGAGGUAUGUGGGGCCAGGAGACAGCAAAGAGGAGACAGCAAAGACUUGGCCUUCCAAUGAGGGUGCUACCAGGGAUUCAAUCCCUGGUUGGGGAGCUGAGGUCCCUCAUGCCUGAAGGCCAAACACCCAAAACAUAAAACAGAAGCAAUAUGGUAACCAAUUCAACGAGUGAGUGCU
Molecule: long non-coding RNA, 278 nt
Organism: Bubalus bubalis (water buffalo)
Lineage: Eukaryota; Metazoa; Chordata; Mammalia; Artiodactyla; Bovidae
Exons: 2
Source: RefSeq, a predicted model, not a curated record